GCCGCUGUGGCGGAAUUGGUAGACGCGCUAGACUCAAAAUCUAGUGGGUGCAUAGCCCGUAUCGGUUCGAGUCCGAUCAGCGGUACAA
RNAcentral lists this transfer RNA (88 nucleotides) under Ignavibacteriota bacterium. Its description in RNAcentral is "Ignavibacteriae bacterium tRNA-Leu". It matches the Rfam family "tRNA". Rfam says of the family: Transfer RNA (tRNA) molecules are approximately 80 nucleotides in length. Their secondary structure includes four short double-helical elements and three loops (D, anti-codon, and T loops). Lineage: Bacteria; Pseudomonadati; Ignavibacteriota. The record is from RNAcentral.